RNAcentral lists this transfer RNA (69 nucleotides) under Amolops larutensis (Larut sucker frog). RNAcentral's name for it is "tRNA-Lys". Lineage: Eukaryota; Metazoa; Chordata; Amphibia; Anura; Ranidae. The record is from RNAcentral.
CAUUAAGAAGCUAUGAAUCAGCAACAGCCUUUUAAUCUGUAGACAGGUGACUAAACCCACCCUCAAUGA